GAUGAACGCUGGCGGCGUGCUUAACACAUGCAAGUCGAACGGAAAGACCCUGCUUUUGUGGGGUGCUCGAGUGGCGAACGGGUGAGUAACACGUGAGUAACCUGCCCUUGACUUUGGGAUAACUUCAGGAAACUGGGGCUAAUACCGGAUAGGAGCUCCUGCUGCACGGUGGGGGUUGGAAAGUUUCGGCGGUUGGGGAUGGACUCGCGGCUUAUCAGCUUGUUGGUGGGGUAGUGGCUUACCAGGGCUUUGACGGGUAGCCGGCCUGAGAGGGUGACCGGCCACAUGGGGACUGAGAUACGGCCCAGACUCCUACGGGAGGCAGCAGUGGGGAAUAUUGCACAAUGGGCGGAAGCGUGAUGCAGCAACGCCGCGUGCGGGAUGACGGCCUUCGGGUUGUAAACCGCUUUCGCCUGUGACGAAGCGUGAGUGACGGUAAUGGGUAAAGAAGCACCGGCUAACUACGUG
This 468-nucleotide ribosomal RNA is filed under the name uncultured bacterium. RNAcentral describes it as "partial 16S ribosomal RNA". It matches the Rfam family "Bacterial small subunit ribosomal RNA", at positions 28 to 507 of the family's 1533-position model. The record is from RNAcentral.